CGUCAAGUCCUCAUCGGUCCCUUACAUCCCGGGCUACACACGUGCUACAAUGACAGGUACAGAGGGCUGCGAAGCCGCGAGGUGGAGCGAAUACCCAGAAAACCUGUCUCAGUCCGGAUUGAAGUCUGCAACUCGACUUCAUGAAGGCGGAAUCGCUAGUAACCGCGAAUCAGCAGGUCGCGGUGAAUACGUUCCCGGGCCUU
Molecule: ribosomal RNA, 203 nt
Filed under: uncultured Latescibacterota bacterium
Lineage: Bacteria; Pseudomonadati; Candidatus Latescibacterota
Description: uncultured Latescibacteria bacterium partial 16S ribosomal RNA
Rfam family: Bacterial small subunit ribosomal RNA
Source: RNAcentral